AAACUCGGUGGUNUAAGAUGGACCCGCGUCUGAUUAGCUUGUUGGCGGGGUAACGGCCCACCAAGGCGACGAUCAGUAGCCGGCCUGAGAGGGCGGACGGCCACAUUGGGACUGAGACACGGCCCAGACUCCUACGGAAGGCAGCAG
This 147-nucleotide ribosomal RNA is filed under the name uncultured bacterium. RNAcentral's name for it is "partial 16S ribosomal RNA". It matches the Rfam family "Bacterial small subunit ribosomal RNA", at positions 202 to 354 of the family's 1533-position model. The record is from RNAcentral.